Molecule: long non-coding RNA, 1058 nt
Organism: Vigna angularis (adzuki bean)
Lineage: Eukaryota; Viridiplantae; Streptophyta; Magnoliopsida; Fabales; Fabaceae
Exons: 5
Source: RefSeq, a predicted model, not a curated record
GGCAUAUUUCGUUAGCUUCGCUCCUGUUCUUCGUUCUUCACUGCGCUUUCCUCUUCAUUGGUUGUCACUGUGACUGUGAUUUCUUUUUCUUCUUCUUCACAUUGUUCCAAACUUUCUUUUCCAUUAUUGGUGGCUCUUCGUGUUGCGUUUUGGGUCGACGAGAAACGCUCCAAGUUUCAACCAUGGCUGCAAUUCUAACUUCUAGAUCUUCUCUCGUGUGCCUUCACCUUUACUCAUUUUUAUUCUACCUCAUCACCGGUUUUUCCUCAUGGGUUUUCAUAAAAGCUUCCAAAUUUUAGGUGAAGUAAUUAACUUGCUUUGGUUUACUCGUUGAAAACCAAACUAGUGGGUCGUUCUAUGUUUGGUUGAUUGAGCAAUAGCUUCUCUGGUUCGUUAUGAUGACAUGAAAUAACAUCAUCCAAUUUCUUACCCAGGGGUCGGUGUAAAUCACCAUGGUCACAAAGGAGAAGAAAACACGCUCUGUCAUCUCAUCAAUGGAAAUCCUUGUUUACAUAAGAUGGUAUGACUUAGGCAGCACCAAGGGUGAAAGAGAUGUUAUAAGAACUCAAAAUAGAAAGCAGUAUGAGAAACUCCGUAGACAAUGUCGGAGACUCAUCAAGCAAAGUAAUGUUGAGGUUCGUUCAUGGACAAGUCGAGGUUUGUGAGCUUCGUCAAGAUUCCUAGAGAAGGAGGAUUGGGGCCUACAAGGUUGCACACUGCUAGCUAGAAGAAGAACCUAGCUCUGCCCCCAACUGAGAUGAUGAAGAAGCAAUGUGACAGAUACUUAAGAAGAAGACGUGGCCUCGCCGUUUGCCAGAUCAAUAAAAAGUUGACGCCGUCCAUUUUUAAGGAUUAAUAUUACAUGUUUCAAUACUAUGAGGACUAAAAGCCAUCAAAGUUUUGAGUAGGAACUAAAACCAAAAUCAGUGAUACUUAAGGGAUGAAAAACAUAUUUAACCCUAUAAAAAUUAAGCAUUUAUCUUAGUUUUAUUUUAUUUGAAAACAAUGUGGCUUAUGUAUGAAUUCCCUUUUUAGUUCUUAUGUUGUUUUCCCGGCAA